AUUGAACGCUGGCGGCAGGCUUAACACAUGCACGUCGAGCGGAUCGGCGGCCGGGUGCGUAAUGCCUAUGUAUCUGCAUGGUAGUGGGGGAUGACGUACGGAAACGGGCGCUAAUACCGAAUACUAUCAGAUGAGCCUAGGUCGGAUUGGCUAGUGGGUGGGGUAAAGGCCGACCAAGGCGAAGAUCCGUAACUGGUCUGAGAGGAUGAUCAGUAAAACUGGAACUGAGACACGGUCCAGACUCCUACGGGAGGCAGCAGGGGGGAAUAGUGGACAAUGGGCGAAAGCCUGAUCCAGCCAUGCCGCGUGUGUGAAGAAGGUCUUCGGAUUGUAAAGCACUUGAAGUGGGGAGGCGUUACCAGCAGAAUAAGCACCGGCUAACUUCGUGCCAGCAGCCGCGGUAAUAC
RNAcentral lists this ribosomal RNA (407 nucleotides) under uncultured bacterium. RNAcentral describes it as "partial 16S ribosomal RNA". It matches the Rfam family "Bacterial small subunit ribosomal RNA", at positions 30 to 526 of the family's 1533-position model. The record is from RNAcentral.